RNAcentral lists this long non-coding RNA (2367 nucleotides) under Homo sapiens (human). Its description in RNAcentral is "HSALNT0071069". The record is from RNAcentral. Lineage: Eukaryota; Metazoa; Chordata; Mammalia; Primates; Hominidae.
CUUAAAAUUCAUAAGAAUUCAUUGAUUUCAUACAUCUAUAAACAAUGAUAUGCAGGCCAAAGGAUUUAAGCAACCAUUUAUUAAUCCAUAAUAAUAACAUAUGUAUCAUUCAGAGUCCAGUGAGGAAACAGAAGCUACAACAGUUGGUUUUUAUUGUCAUUGUUGUUUGUUUUUAACCAAAAGCACUUAAUAUAAAGAUUUGAUACCAGUUUUUGGAGUUCUGCAGAGGGAGAAAGUUUCCACUAAAGUAUUGGGGAUAGUAACUACUGAAGGUAGUUUCCAUCUAAGGCUGGGGCAAUUAAAUUUUGGGGUUACUAAAACUUUGGAGAUGGAGUAGGGAUUUUGCAAAGCAGAAACUCAGGUGUUGGAAACUUAGGUGUCUGAGGAGUUACUGCUCCCUGCAUUGAAGUUGAUGUCUCUGGGGCUGGGGGAGGGAGCGGCGGGGGGGUGGUGUGUGAUGAAGUUGUUUCUGAAAGUGUUGGGAAACAUGCAAACUGAAAUCAACUGCUGUUAUUGAAAUGAAAUGUCACUGUCAAGGUGAAAAAGUAUUGCCACGGUGAUGCUGAGAGCAGCAGGAAGCAAAAUCAAGGAAGACAAAAUAAACAGGAAGGAGUGUAUUUCUUAUUUUUCCUCAAUUCAUAAAGUGCUUUUCUAGUACCUUCUACUGGCUUACAGGAGAGACUUACAGAAGCCAAGAGAACACAGCAGAAAUAUGAUUGGAAGGUGUCAGCCCCACAUCACGAAGGGAUCAUGGAUUUCUUGGAACUAAUCCGUAAGAAUCGCUAGAACCCGGGAGGCAGAGGUUGCAGCGAGCCAAGAUCGUGCCACUGCACUCCAACCUGAGCUACGGAGAAAAACUGUGCCAAAAAAAAAACACAAACAAAAAACCAAACGACAACCAAAAAAACAAACAAACUGCUAUUCUAGAUACUUAAGAAUUAAAUGGUAAAAAGGAAAUAGGUAAGACUAAUACAGGAAGUUCAAGUCUAUUUAAUCAUGGAGGUAAUGAGUAGAACAAACCCAUGGAUUCUGAUCUCUUUCUAUGUAGUAUGAUUUUUAUACAGGAGUUCAACACAGAAAAGAUGAGAUCAUUCUGCCUUUUAGACAUUGGUUUAUUUUAUAAAGAUUUUUUUUGUGCCGAAGGGAUUAAGAAACACAUCUACAGAGGCAUCUAUCUCAGGUCUUUAAUCAUUAUGGGUUUACAUUUGUUUCUUACAAUUUAGAAUCCUGCCAGGAUAGGGUAGAUGACUUUAGUAUUUAUUUUUAAUCCACAAUAAUGACUAUGAUGUCAAUAAAAACAAAAUAAUAGCAGUACUUAGCUUGUACAUACAAUAAAAUGAACACUUUUCUAAGAAGAAGUAUCUCAAAAAUAAAACUCCAAGGUAGAACUUUUUAUUAUUAUUACCCUAAUUUCAAAUAUGAGAAAAGUGAAGCUUGGAAAAGUAACACAUAUAAAAUUAUAUGGCUAAUAAUAAGAAGAAAUUGAAUUCAAGCCAGUGUCUGUUUGACUCCAGAACUCAUAUUCCAACUUAUUUCUUCAUACUUUCCCUCAUUAGGAAGCAGGUGGGGGGUUGCUGUAAAUAGUGAGUAAAAUUGUUCUUUAUAUUGCUUCUUUUAAGCCGACUACUUUAUAGAGGUGUUAAGUACAACAGACAAGGGUGAUUUGAGGCAGAGAAUAAAAUAAGUAAAAUAUGAUUUUCAUGAGUACUGGUAGAAUCAUAAGAAAAUAAAUAUUCUGGAUCAACACAAAAGAAUGAUGUUUUCAACUUCUUGUUUCAAACUGCCAGAAAAUGUUUAAAACAAUGAAAGCAAUAUUGUGAAAAUAUUUCUCCCCUUUUCUCAUAAGAGAUAGCAAUGUAAUAUCUUUAUUAAAUCUUUGCCCAUUCAUUCACCAACUUAAAACUUUCCACAGAAUAUUUUAUUUCUCUGUAAAUAAGGGAAAAAAUUUCACCAUCGUUUAAUUGUGCUUUUGUUUAGGCUUUCUGGCAUAUUGAAAUAAGUAAUAAAAAUAGAAUUAAGUUUGUUCAGAUAAUACAGUAAUGAUAGUGGAAUACUUUUAUCUCUCUAGAGAUGAAAAGCACCACCAUUGUUUCUUGUUAUAGUCAGAGCUGUAAGGAGCUUAUAUGGUAGAUAGAAGUUGAAUACAUUGUGUGGGUUUAUAAAAUAUGAGCAGAACAUGACAUGCUUGGUUAUGAAUAUUAUUGGCUGAUUCUGCAUUCAAUGAUUUAAGAUAUUUUUAAAAAUUUAUUUGAUGUUGUCUUAUCUGAGCAAGAUUUAAACAUUUUUUCUUUUCCCUUUAAUGCUGCCCUCUAUAUAUGGGUGGUCUUAUAAGUUAGAUUUUACAGAAAGAGUUAAAAAUAAUCUGAG